GACGAACCGUGCGAACGUUAUUCGGAAUCACUGGGCUUAAAGCGCGUGUAGGCGGGCCGGCACGUCGGUCGCUGAAAUCCCCCGGCUCAACCGGGGAAGUGGCGCCGAAACGGCCCGCCUGGAGGAACGUAGGGGGAGCUGGAACUUCCGGUGGAGCGGUGAAAUGCGUUGAGAUCGGAAGGAACGCCCGUGGCGAAAGCGAGCUCCUGGACGUUUUCUGACGCUGAGACGCGAAAGCCAGGGGA
Molecule: ribosomal RNA, 245 nt
Filed under: uncultured bacterium
Lineage: Bacteria
Description: partial 16S ribosomal RNA
Rfam family: Bacterial small subunit ribosomal RNA
Source: RNAcentral